This is a long non-coding RNA of Cydia splendana, 423 nucleotides long. RefSeq lists it as uncharacterized. The record is from RefSeq and is a predicted model, not a curated record. NCBI's taxonomy places the organism in Eukaryota, Metazoa, Arthropoda, Insecta, Lepidoptera, Tortricidae. The transcript is spliced from 2 exons.
AACGUAUUUCGUUCAUAUCCAUAAGUACGAUUGCAGUUAAUUUAGUAGGUACAUAUAUGUCACACGUCGGCAGCGGCACACAAAAUGAUUAUGGUUUUCUUAAUGGCUCUAUUGGCGCUCGGCCCCACCAACGGCAGACCGAAAGGCAAAUGCACCUGCAACUGGUUCACGUGCAACCAGCCGGUGUGCGCCAGCAACCACGAGACCUUCGAGUGCAUGUGUCAGCUGAACUGUCGGAACUCGGAACAUCAGGGCCAGCUGUAUAAACUGUACGACGGGGAGUGCUAUGCCGACAUUGCGCUGGUUUAGAGUAAAAUGGACCGAAGGUCACAAAGUGUGGAAAUUCUAUACAGACCCUUAACUUUGCUUAACUUAACUACGCCUUACUGCAUUCGUAAUAAAAAAUAUUUGUUUAAACUUGAA